RNAcentral lists this ribosomal RNA (246 nucleotides) under uncultured bacterium. Its description in RNAcentral is "partial 16S ribosomal RNA". It matches the Rfam family "Bacterial small subunit ribosomal RNA", at positions 523 to 769 of the family's 1533-position model. The record is from RNAcentral.
AUACGUAGGGGGCGAGCGUUGUCCGGAUUUACUGGGCGUAAAGGGUGAGUAGGCGGUUAUGUGUGUCAGGUGUAAAAGGCGUAGGCUUAACUUACGUUAGCACUUGAAACUGCAUGACUUGAGUGCAGGAGAGGUAAGUGGAAUUCCUAGUGUAGCGGUGAAAUGCGUAGAGAUUAGGAAGAACACCAGUGGCGAAGGCGAUUCUCUGGACUGUAACUGACGCUGAGGCUCGAAAGCGUGGGGAGC